Molecule: long non-coding RNA, 1480 nt
Filed under: Homo sapiens (human)
Lineage: Eukaryota; Metazoa; Chordata; Mammalia; Primates; Hominidae
Description: long intergenic non-protein coding RNA 963
Source: RNAcentral
GGGCUCCCGAGUGUGGGGAGGGCGGCUCAGCAGGAGCUGCUGCUUCCCAGAAAGUUGAUUAUUUUUAACCCAGGAAGAAGAAAGGAAGGAGGCGAGGGAGAAGGACUCAGAGAAAAGAGGAGAGGAAAAGAGAGGAGAGGAGAGGAAAGAAACGGAGUCUCACUCUGUCACCAGGCUGGAGUACAGUGGUGUGAUCUCGGCUCACUGCAACCUCCGCCUCCCAGGUUCAAGCGAUUCUCCUGCCUCAGCCUCUCAAGUAGCUGAGAUUACAGACGUGUGUCACCAUGCCCUGUUAAUUUUUGUUUGUUUGUUUUGUUUUUUGUUUUGUUUUGUUUCGUUUUUUGUUUUUUUUUUUUGAGACGGAGUCUUGCUCUGUCGCCCAGGCUGGAGUGCAGUGGCCCCGAUCUCGGCUCACCGCAAGCUCCGCCUCGCGGGUUCAUGCCAUUCUCCGGCCUCAGCCUCCCGAGUAGCUGGGACUACAGGCAUCCGCCACCACACCCAGCUAAUUUUUUGUAUUUUUUUUAGUAGAGACGGGGUUUCACUGUGUUAGCCAGGAUGGUCUCGAUCCCCUGACCUUGUGAUCCACCCAAGGCCUCGGCCUCCCAAAGUGCUGGGAUUACAGGCAUGAGCCACCGUGCCCGGUCAAUUUUUAUAUUUUUUGUAGAGACAGGGUUUCACCAUGUUGGCCAGGCUGGUGUCGAACUCCCGACCUCAGGUGAUUGUCGGCCUUGGCCUCCCAAAGUGCUGGGAUUACAGGCGUGAGCCACCGCGCCCAGCCGGUGGGCAGCCAGUUGUGUUCCGGGAGGAGGAGGACACCCUGGAAAGACAGUGGGGCCAGACACUGAACUGCCUUUGGAAGCAAGUAGGAGCAACAGCGAAGGUUUGCUGGCUCAGAAGCAAGGUCUCGCUGUGUUACCCUGGCUGGAGUGCAGUGGCUACUUACAGGCAUGAUCAUAGCAUACUGCAGCCUCGAACUCCUGGACUAGAGCAGUUCUCCUGCCUCAGCCUCCAGAGCAGCUGGGACUGCAGACACGCACCACAGAGCCCAGCCUGAGUCAUUUUGAUUCUGUAACUGGCUUCCUCUCGGCGGGCAGGCUCACACCCUCCACCCCCAGCUGGAGAUGGAAGGAGGAUGCUCACCGCCCAUUCCUCAUGCAGGCCAUCGAUGGAAAUGUCAGACAGUGCGAGUCCACGCCUGAACACUUCUGGGGUCCGCUCUGGGACUGACACUGGCAGAUCCAUCGUGGCACCCGAGCUCUGUGAGGGCAAGACUUUGUUCGGUUGUGGGCUAUGCCCCCAACCCCUCGGACAGUGCCUGCACAGGUGGACAUUUUUGUUGGAUGAAGGAUUUUCUGUUAAAUGUGUCUGGCACACACAGAAAAACAAAGCCCAGCAGGUACGAUGGUGAUUAUUAUUGUUACUGGUGGCGCUCUAUUAUUGUUAUUAGUGUCUGUUGAAAAAGACCCUGAGCUAUACCAGC